UCUAUAAUGACAGAAUAAUGUAAUGGACUUAAGAUCCAUCUAUAAAGAUUUUUAAUCUUUUUAUAGAA
Molecule: transfer RNA, 68 nt
Filed under: Xenapatidea procincta
Lineage: Eukaryota; Metazoa; Arthropoda; Insecta; Hymenoptera; Tenthredinidae
Description: tRNA-Leu
Rfam family: tRNA
About the family: Transfer RNA (tRNA) molecules are approximately 80 nucleotides in length. Their secondary structure includes four short double-helical elements and three loops (D, anti-codon, and T loops).
Source: RNAcentral